GACGAACGCUGGCGGCGUGCCUAACACAUGCAAGUCGAACGGGGUAGAGAGCUUCGGUUUUCUACUUAGUGGCGAACGGGUGAGUAACGCGUGAAGAACCUGCCUUUCAGUGGGGGACAACAGUUGGAAACGACUGCUAAUACCGCAUAAUGUUAUUUGAGGGCAUCCUCGAAUAACCAAAGCUUUAUGUGCUGAAAGAUGGCUUCGCGUCUGAUUAGCUAGAUGGCGGGGUAACGGCCCACCAUGGCGACGAUCAGUAGCCGGACUGAGAGGUUGAACGGCCACAUUGGGACUGAGACACGGCCCAAACUCCUACGGGAGGCAGCAGUGGGGGAAUAUUGCACAAUGGGGGAAACCCUGAUGCAGCGACGCCGCGUGAGUGAAGAAGUAUUUCGGUACGUAAAGCUCUAUCAGCAGGGAGAAAUUGACAGUACCUGACUAAGAAGCCCCGGCUACCUACGUG
Molecule: ribosomal RNA, 463 nt
Filed under: uncultured bacterium
Lineage: Bacteria
Description: bacterial SSU rRNA
Rfam family: Bacterial small subunit ribosomal RNA
Source: RNAcentral